GGAUUAAAACUUUAGAUACAGAAUGGCGGUUAAGAAUUUUAUAUUUUGGAUUAAGUAAAUGUACAAAUUCUUUGAAACUUGGAUUAUCAACUACACUGAAUGAUUGCAAAUCUUUUGUAAAUUGUUUUAAAAAAGAAUGGUCCACUUUUUUUGACAUUUUUUUUGGUGUAUAGUGCUAUGGACUGGCAUCCUGCGUUAGACUGGUGGAGAUGAUAAUGGGGUAAUGCUAUAGAUUAACGUCUUUCACCCGUCUUAAAGGUAAUUACGCGGUAACAACAGGCGUAUAGACCAGGUACAUUUCUUUGAUUGCACAAUCCUGUACCAAUAUUUACACCAGAUGUCGAAGCCAUAGACAUAGGGUCACCAAUAGGGAGGGCCGUAAAAAACGGGAAAGUAUUUUUCAGGAAAAUUAAUAUCAGAACGAUAUUUCUAUGAACCAUAUUUUUCAUGAACACUAUUCAACAAGAAUUUUAUUUAAUGGAAUUAUUUUUUUCAGAAUGUUUUUUUUUUGGAACAAUAAUACCAUUGAAUAUGUUUGUCAGGAAAUUAUUUUCUCAAAAACCGUUUACAAAGGAUUGGUAUGUAUUAGAAUUAUACUACACAGAAUCGUACGAAUCGGGACAGUUUUUUAAAGUACGGUAAAAACAGAAGUUUAGCACUUAUCAAUUAUGAUAAGAUAUAAUUAAGAAUUCAAAAUCGUCAAAGGAUGAAUAAUAAUUAUUAUUAUUUUUAAAAUAAUGAAAUCUAUUAUGCACAUUAUGUACCUACCUAAUUUAAAAAAAUAGUAAUUACCAUUAGAAAAUAUAACAUAAUGAAACAAUUUUGAGUAAUAUAACGAUCAUAGCUUUAUACAAUGUAUGCAUGACCAUUGACCACUAAAAAAACAAUGUCAUUACAAGAGGAAUAAUGUUUAUAAUAAAAAUAAUUAUAAUUAUACCAUAUAAUGUUAAUUCAGGUAUCAACUAUCAAUAGAGUGCUAUAAUAACGAGAUCCUCAAAAGGUGAAUUACAGAUAGUUUCAGACGGAUUCUAUUUUAUCUGUUAAAGAUUUCGCAUUAUGAUAAAGAUUCAGAAUAUGUACUACCCAUGUGCGGCACGUGGGGAACUUGAGCUCCAGAAAUAUAAUAAAAUUUCGACUAUACGAUAUAUUCACGAUAUUACCUCACAUUUGGCUGCCCGGUGUACUUUGGACGGCUUUUUCGAAAUGAAUACGGAAAAAUAUGUUUUCCGAAUUAUUUUUAAUCGAGCAACCAACGUAGUAUUAAUCUAACUUGAGUACCUACCUUCUAAUUAGGUGAUAUACUAAAAUGAGAUACUGUAUACGAUCUGAUGUCAGUAAUAUAUAAGUGUUCAAAGUUCAAUUUUUCCAAUAAUUGUUACUCGAUAAACGAUAUCGAUAGUGAACCAAUGAACCAAUGAACUACUCAAUAAAGAAUAUUAUUCAAUCCUAUUAUAUAUAAAUAAGUACUUAUUAGUUGCUGUAACUGAUAAUAUAUUUGUAUAGUUUAUAUUUUAUUCAGUUUAUGAAGACUUUUGGAUCUUUUUAUUUUGUUUGACAUUACUAAAACAUGAAGCAUAAAGGUUUUGUAUAUAAAAAUAAUGGAGGCAUCCAUAAAAAUAAGAGUGUUCGAUAUUUGAUCUGCAAAACCAAAUAUUGCAAAGGCUCUGCUAAAAUGCUUGCGAAUGGGACAAUUGUUGAGUUGGUGAAACAUACGCAUGACCCUGAUGAACAUGACCACAAUCACGACAUUUUAAAAAAAGCAUUUAGGCAAACAUUGAAAGACCGUUCUAAAAAAGAAACAACAAGACUCCGGACAAUAUAUGACGAAGAAAUGAUUAGGUGCAGUAAACUAGUGAUGCUCGAAUGCGUAAAAAUCGUAAAAUAGCGAACUUCAUUAGGACAUAACUUCGAAACUAAGUCCGACCGCCAAAUUCUGAUUUCACCAUGUUUUUCAGCAUACUUAACUACAAAUCCAGCUGCUGCAACCCUAUACCCCUGGCCAGUGGCUGAAAUCUCGAUGAGAAAAGCCAGGAGAACAACUAUGCCAGUUUUACCAUCGUCAUUGAGCGACUUGGCAAACUUCCUAGACUUCAAUAUGCAACGUUAUAUAUGUUGUCAACAGCCCUUCUUCCAAGAUAAGGUUACAGAUACACACGGGAAAUGUUCAAUAAUUUUUGCGUGCAGUACACUAAUUAGAAAAAUUGUUAUGCUUUGAAGUAAUGAGUUGCAUGCUGACGCAACUUUUAAAGUUGUGCCUUCAAUUCCACCAAGCCGUCAACUUUUCAUCAUGCAUUUAAUAUACCAAAACCACUCCAUACCGAUUGUUUAUACUUUGAUGGAAUCGAAGACUGAAGAGGCAUAUACUCUAUUAUUAAGCAAGUGCAAAGAAUUAUUUCCAUUUAUAAAGCCGUCAAAUAUAAUGACUGAUUUUGAAUCUGGGUUGCUGAAUGCUUUUAAAUCUGUUUAUCCAGAUGCAGAUCAGCAUUCUUGUUUUUUCCAUUAUGUACAGGCACUAGUAAAAAAUAUCAGAACAAGAGGAUUAACGCACUUUGUUAAAUCCAAUGUAAAUGCACAAUUUUGUGUGCAGAUGUUUUGUGCAUUGGCAUUAUUACCUACAAAUAAAAUUGAUGAAGGGUAUACA
Molecule: RNA transcript, 2641 nt
Organism: Myzus persicae (green peach aphid)
Lineage: Eukaryota; Metazoa; Arthropoda; Insecta; Hemiptera; Aphididae
Exons: 8
Source: RefSeq, a predicted model, not a curated record